GUCAGCUCCUGUCACCUGACCAUGGGCUACCUUCAGAAGACUAGACCAGCUAGACAGUCAUGGACCACCAAUGAGAAAGUCACACAGUGUUCUUUCCCUUUUCUAUCUCUGGGGCCCAGCCAUAAGCUUUUCAUGCCCAUAAGGAAAGCUCGAAGCUCCCGGGGUGCUGUGAGGACCAGGGUACUGGGACCAGCUCAAACCUAGGCAUUGCAGUGAUCUGCCUGGUUCUAAUAAGAUGCAAUACAUGAGAAACAGGUACAGGCUUAGACUUCAGGCUCUUUCUGGACCUCAUCACAGUUCCCUGAUUCACAGGAGGACACUCUGACUACAUUUGUGAGUGACUUCUCUAGCUGUGUGCCAAGCCUUUCAGCAGCGCUCAUUUCAGAACAUUCAAUUUCCUCUUACUUUCUGUCAGUUGUCUCCCUUUGAAUUCUGAUUUAUUUUACACACCCCUAUAAACUGUCUUAAUUGUCUUUGAAACAGAGACCAGAGUAGAGAAGGCUCAGUCUGCCUGUCUUUAUGUGGGUGUGGAAUGUGGGUUGUGUAGAAAGCAUUUGGCCUCAGUGAAACGGGAGAUGUUCUCAGAACCCAUGGAUGUCAAUGGCCAUCAUGUUGUGAGCUCUCACGGACAGAUCUAGACCCCUUUUGCACUGGGCAGGGUUGAGUGCUGCUGGUCCCUCAUUUGUAACUCCUUUACUGUCACCAAGUGAAGGAAAAUGUCCAGAAAGUGAAGAACAUUCUGUUUCUUGGAAGUAACAAAGGUCUAGCUCAGUUCCCAGAGUGAGGUUCCCAGACAAGAGGCUCGAUGUCAUCUGAACAUCGGGGAAAGCAGAAUUCUCUGACCCACCCUGCAAGAAGCUUGGGUGCUGAAGACUGAUUUUCAAUCAAGCAUCCCAUGAUCGUGAGUUUGUGCAAGCCUGAGAACCUAUUGACUUGACUCAAAGUGGUGAGAGCGUUUUCCCAUGAACCACUCUACUUGCUGUGCGUUUUUAUUGAGGUGGGAACAGCUGUCUCUUAUUUAUAGAUUUAUCUCUUAUUUAUAGACUGUCAUCACACAGAUUUAUCUGCUUCUCAGGCAAAUUCCACGGAAAGGUUCACAGAAGCAAGAUUUGGAGCAUUUUGGCUCUCUUGGCCAUCAUAACUAAUGGGAGCCUGAUUUUACUUAAAUUUUCCCCAAAUUUGUAAAUCAUCCACCUCUAAAGCAGCCAAGUGAGAUAUUUAUAGUAUAAGGAAACUAGCCACAGAACAGAUUUCCAAAAAUCUGCAGUUUGCAUCAGCACGCUGCAGAAAAAAAGAAAAAAAAAAGUAAAGCCUCAUAUGUUGCCGGAGAACGAAAGAAGAAAUGAAAGAAAGGGCAGAGAACUUCUGAAAAUGAGAUGUUUGAGAUAGUCAAGCUUGGAAAGACAGAAACCCAGACCGCCUGUUCAAGUCAAAAUGGUAGCAACGGCUGUCAUCCAGCAACAGCUGAAGGAAGCGUUUAGAUAUAUGUAUUACAUACUGAUGUGAGAGGGUAACACGGUGGUAGGGUUCCCACCCCAUCACAUCUAAUGGGACUCUUUUAAUAUUUGAUAUAUAGGAGCUCGGAUCAUGGAUGGAUCUUCAGUGUUACAGCCAAUGCACAGAACACAGCUGUGACAAGUAUCUGUCUCAGUGGUCCUGGCUGACAAGGAGCCACUUAAUUGCAUUUACAACCAAAGAGAGGGCAUGGAGUUGAGUCCAGAAGUCACCUAGAAGAAAUUCAGACUCAGGACUGCUUGCUUGUGAUUUAUUUCUACCCGAAGUUCCCAGUUGCUAUUAAAAUAAUGUCAAGGACAUAAUGAUGGCUCUAAUAAGACGUCAAUCGUGGUCCUGAUGAUGGGCUGGUGCCUGAAGUAAUGAGACAUCAGGGAAAAGCACAUCGUGUGCUCUCCUGCACCGUUAAAGGGACUCUGGGCAAAUGGAGACUUCACUACAAUUUCCCUCAGAUGCGCCAGACAUUUGCUCUUUGGCUAAAAGCUCUCCAGUUAGCAGAAUCAGAACUGAAACUCCCACACCUGAGGAAAGAAGAGAGCGCCCACAGAUCCUGCUUUCAAGCGGGUUACCACCGAUGCUCACCACCAUUAACAAGGUGGCUAUCCAGAAGGGAAGCAGGGCUCUGAGUGUGUACCUAGCAGACAGUCAUAAAGGACAAAGUGCUCGACAGACAACUCUACUCCACUCCUAACUAAAUCCCCAAGGGGACCUCUUUGCAUUCCAUUACCAGGUUUUUCCUGAUUCCACCUACAUCUAAUUAAGUCCUUAAAAGUCACUUUGGAGACCUAAACUACAGGUCUGCAUGGGGACCUCUUUAGUGUGAGCUCCCAUUGCUAUCCAUCCCUCUGCCCGGAGCUAUGAUAAAAGCUAUCUCAAAAUGCACC
This 2396-nucleotide long non-coding RNA is filed under the name Mus musculus (house mouse). Its description in RNAcentral is "long non-coding RNA chr13:59200289-59202685". Lineage: Eukaryota; Metazoa; Chordata; Mammalia; Rodentia; Muridae. The record is from RNAcentral.